ACAGCAGCCGCCGCGGGAAAACGAAGGGUGCAAGCGUUACUCGGAAUUACUGGGCGUAAAGCGUGCGUAGGUGGUUGUUUAAGUCUGCUGUGAAAGCCCUGGGCUCAACCUGGGAAUUGCAGUGGAUACUGGGCAACUAGAGUAAGGUAGAGGAUAGUGGAAUUUCCGGUGUAGCAGUGAAAUGCGUAGAGAUCGGAAGGAACAUCUGUGGCGAAGGCGACUAUCUGGGCCAUUACUGACACUGAGGCACGAAAGCGUGGGGAGCAAACAGGAUUAGAUACCCCCGUAGUCCCUGUCUCUUAUAC
RNAcentral lists this ribosomal RNA (305 nucleotides) under uncultured bacterium. Its description in RNAcentral is "partial 16S ribosomal RNA". It matches the Rfam family "Bacterial small subunit ribosomal RNA", at positions 508 to 807 of the family's 1533-position model. The record is from RNAcentral.